AUGUUUCUGUCUCUUCUACAUUGACUGUUCUUAUUCCACUGGUUUCUUUAACAGCACUGUUCUAAGCCUCUGUGGAAGAAAACUUCCCACAAGGCUGCACUAGCACAUCAAGCCUUUGCUUUUACAGUCUUCUCUUGCCUAUUACCAUACCAGUGUGUGUAUUCUCCAUCUUUGGACUUGGAUGGGUAUUAAACUCUUCAGGCAUAAUUGACUCAACUAGAGUCAGUAUGCUGUAUUUAUUCAUGGUAGCUCUUAGGCAUCUAUCUCUGAAAGCGCAACUGGAUGGAAUUUAGUUUGCAGGAAAGACUUUGCUUUGUGCAUAUCAGACUUAGGACUGUGGGAGGUUUAAGUUGCAGACAUUUUUUUUAUUUUACUCUUGCUCUGCCCUUGUGUUUUGAAGGUUCUGAUUUAUAACUGCUAUAUCAGAGGAAACAUUUUGACAGUGUCUUGUUGGAGAUGAACAUCCCCAAUUGUCAUGUCAUGACUUUUUCUUAUUUUAUUCAUGUAAAAGUCAUUGAAAUUUUGUUUUGCUUGUUUGUUUAGCUUUAAAGUCUUUGGUAAAGUCACAUGUUAGGGAUGACUGAAAUAAUUCUAAAGCAGUGAUGCUGGAAUAGUCUCUCUAAGGGAGAGAAAUGCAUUUGAACAAGUGUGGUAUAAAACCAUAUAAUCAAAUAGAAAUUUCAGGUACUUACAAAAAUUGAGUUUAUAAAAUUACCUUCAUUUCUUUGACAUUAGUUGUUUAUAUUAACAAUAAAGAUGUUGACACUUUAUCAUAAAAAAUAAACCAGUUUGCAGUAA
Molecule: RNA transcript, 798 nt
Organism: Sapajus apella (tufted capuchin)
Lineage: Eukaryota; Metazoa; Chordata; Mammalia; Primates; Cebidae
Gene name: phosphatidylinositol N-acetylglucosaminyltransferase subunit Y-like
Exons: 1
Source: RefSeq, a predicted model, not a curated record